Molecule: long non-coding RNA, 30537 nt
Filed under: Cucumis sativus (cucumber)
Lineage: Eukaryota; Viridiplantae; Streptophyta; Magnoliopsida; Cucurbitales; Cucurbitaceae
Description: long non-coding RNA (CSAT_LNC000013)
Source: RNAcentral
GCGCCCCGGGGGAGCGCAAAUCUCUGUAGGAGUCCUUCGGACCAGUCAGUAGUGGACCGUCAAAUAUAGGUGCCCGGAGAUGCCGGUAAAGGUCUGGCAGAGUAGAAAGCGAUGGAUAAGAAGACAUACCUACGGCAACGAACCUACGGCAAAGAAUGUCCUACUAAUUAAGCUAGUCCGGACCCUUAAUUAUCCUUUCCCAUUCAGUUACUCUAGAAACUAAGAAUGACUCAACCUCUGCCGAAAGAUCUCAUUCAACCUAUUCCUCUUUCUUCUGAGAAUACGAACUGACCUGACUCUCCUUUCUUCCGCAACUGAGAAUGGAUGAACGGAUAGCUUGCUCAAUCAGGAAUUCCCUGACUCUUGAUCUAGCUUAUUCCGAAACCUCUCAUACUCACUCAUUCAACUCCAUAUCUGGCCGACUCUUUCUUGUUUUCAUGUGCAAGGGAAAGAGCAAUCUUUGAACCUUGAAUCACGUCUUAUCGUACUCAGACUCUGCCUCAACGGAAACAGAGUGAGACUUGUACUUAUUCCGAUCCGAUACACAGUUGAGUAGGCCGAUCACGAACGCUAUUUUCAUACAAUAGCUUAAGGAAAGCCCUAACCCAAGAAAAAACUAGGUCUCGUAUCCACUCUCUUCUCCCGAUCCUUAUUCCGAUGACUCAGGACUAUGAAACUUCUCCUUCAACGGAUGAGGCUUGAGGUCUACGCUGGAGACGGAGGAGUCGGCAGAGGAGAAAGGGAAUAAGUCGAUGUGCCGGGGAUAGAUAUGACUUCCCCAACUAAGGAUCUUCGUUCCCAAGCUUCUUCUUAGAAGUACGGAUGAAAGAGAAGGGGACGCCGUCUCAAGCAUGAAAACGAAAGUCAGGUCGGAAGAAAGGACUAAGGGCUUUCUUCUUUCAUUGCUUAACACAUUCAUUCAUUUCCAAAAGCCCGUAGGCUCCGGACUCCGUAGGAGGUUCUUUUAAGUAGGUAACUUGCCGUAGGUAGCGCCUCUCCGCCCCGUGGGAGUCUCGCCCUUUUUCUCUCCUUCUAGAACUACGUCUCCUUUCUGAUAACCUCGAUUAGCACGAUUUGUCUUAGGUCAAAUGGACAAAACCCACUACGCGGUUUUCCUUGAACCUCAAAUACCUUGAUUUUAGAUAGAGAUCUCGUUUAUUAAUUAGCAUAAAGAGAAGAAAUGGAUGUUGGUCGGAACAUGGAGGUUUGAAUACGCUUUUCACAUCCCUACAAAGAACCUCCUCACCCACUACGCGGCACUUCGCCCGCGAAAGAACUUCCUAUUUUUGAUUUACCUUUUUUUUAGAAUGAAAGAACGGCCACUGCUGCCCUUUCAACUCAACCGGUCCGUGGUAGCUUAAUUUGAGCCCAGAAGGCAUUACAUAAGUUCAGCUAGAAAGCUCGACCUUAAUAAAAGAAGUACACAAGCGGAAAGAGUGAAAUAUCGGAUCACUCGCGCUAGGAAUUUGUCUUAUUCAUUCUUUGAAUCCGUGCGUGGUUCGAUCGUCUCAUUCAUGCUCUAAGGCUAAAAGAAGGGCAUAUUUAUUCAUUUCCUUGGAUGAAAAUCAAGAACCUUCUUUAUACCCUUUAAUUGAGUGAAAGGCCUUGAUAUUGGCCUUACGAUCUCUAAGCGCAUUCCCGCUCCGUGGGGAUCGAACUACUAACGACAAAAGCAAGGACAACUAAGACGAGAUCAACUGCCUAAAGAGAUACUGAAUCCACAGAUUCUGAUUCCGAAACAACCGCUACGUGGGGUUGAGUGCCCCUUCGUUCGGGCUUCUAAUCCGCGAGUCGAAUUAUUUCAUUCCUCCACGGUUGGGUCCUGGUGUCUAACCCUUUGGCUUGUGCGUCUUUGACCUCAUGCUUCCGCUUCCCGGGAUUUGUACUACGUUAAGGAAGACUCCGUAGGCGUAGUCGUAGGAGGCGUAGGACGUAGGAGGACGUCGUAGUAGGAGAUUCUUUUCCGGUCCGAAGUAGCUUAAUUAGUCGACGUAGGAGGAUAGGCUUUCUUCCUUGAUGGUCUUUUUGAUAGUUGAUAGGCAAAUCUUUUCUUCCAAAUAGUAGGCUCGCGUAGAAGGCUCGAGGAUAGAGGUUCUUUUUAGUAGGUUUAGGAGAAGGACGUAGAAGGAGGAUAGGCUUUCCUCUUCCUUUAACUUCCUUUAAUCCUUUCUCAGUCGCUUCCCGGUCCGUGGUAGCUUAAUUCGCCCAACACUAAAUAGUACUGAUCCGGGAUAGCGAUCCCGGUCGUUCUACCCGGACCACCCUUUACUCUGACUUUCUCUUUCCCUUGAACGAGAACAAAAAAAGCUUUGUAGAGAGAACAGAAAAGUGGGACUCUGAAAUCUGGGUUAAUAUGGAUAGUCCGGAGGCGCAAAGAAUAUUGCGGAAAAGUCAAGAAAAGAAGAAUGAACUCAUUAACGAUAAUGAAAGAAGAAAAAAAUGGGAAUGAAAAAGAAAGAGGUGAAUAUGGGAGAUUUCAGACUAGUCCUUCGCGGAGGGAAAUACAAGAUUUUGCUAGGUUUUGGGCCUAUAAAGUAGCAAGAAAAGACAAAAAAUCAGUCAAAAUUGAUCUAUUUUCGUUAGAUAAGAAAAGUCGAAAAAGUCCUAUUUAGAAGCAAAAAAGCCGGGAAAACGCAAUGAAAGAAUCAAGCCUAUAAAAGAAAUUCAAUGUGCAAACUUCUAGUUUGAGUUUCUGGUCCGGAUACUGACGGGUCUAUUCUUGAUUCCGCGUAGGAGAAAGAAGACAAAGAGUGAAGCUUCUGUGGAAAAUUCUCAUUCUUUGCGCCUCGAUCAUUCUUUGAGCCUCCCUGGACUCGCAAAAUCAAAUGCAGAUGCGUGUCUUGGAGCCCUUUUAGCUCUUGUUUCUAUUUAUUUAGGACGUAUGUAUGCAAAUUACAUAGAUGUCCGUUUGGGGGUUCUAAUACCAAUCUUUUUUAUACUUGUUAUCUUUGAAAAGAUUUUUCAUCAAGAUGAGAUUCUUUCUUUUCUGGCCUUUGUUCUGAAAUAUUCUUUGAACCCUUUAUUCACUUCGUUGCACUCCCGUAGUUAGGCGCAAAGAAUUUGCGAAGGACUCGUUUUCUCUUCUUUUCUUAGAAUUUUGCAGUCGCCUUUGUUCAUUGAUUCCUUUUAGUCGACUUUCUUCGAACCGCCCCUUAGAAUUUGGAGUCGAGUUCUUUCUAAAUAUAACGGCUCCUUCUUAUAUUCUCAUUCAGUCCUUAUUCAAAAAGAUCCCUGCUGUUGCCUCUCCUUAGAAUUUGGAGUCGAGUUAUUUCAUAAUGCACUCCUUCACAGUCCUUUCGCUUCUCCCCUCUCCUUACAGUCGAGUUAUUUCAUAACCUCCGGACAGGUUCAUAUGGAUUUCUGACUCCUUCUACUACGCAAAUUCUUUGCGCCUUAGCCUGUGGAAUUCAAAUGGAAAGCCUAUCUAUACUAUGUUUCUAUUCUUUUUUCGGUAUAUUAAGGCCUUACAGAAUCACGAAUCUUAGCAAGCAUGUGUUUUCAUGUCCAUGAAAGGAAUCUUUUUCUCAAAGAAAUUUCCGUGUAGUGGUCCGAAGGACUUCUUUAUUCUAUUCCACUUGCUUGGUCCAUGAAAAGACACUUUAGUCCAAAAUUGGUAGAAAUUCAAAUGAUAAGAUAGGUUCCUGAAUAGUUCACAAUAGUUUAUAAAUCUAGAACGAAUCGUGAGCCGCUUCUCAUAUUUCAUGGACCCUAGCCCCUCGAAGCUUCCGUAGAGGAGCUGAGCCAUAGACCACAUCCUCUAGACGCGAAUAAGAAGAUCGGAAUUAGCAGGUUCAAAGAAUAUUGACGCGUAAGAGCUCCCCUUUCCUUCUUGUCUGUCUUCCCUCUCUGUGUAGUUGUCGGUAGCAGCUGCAGCUAUCGGCUUCCGGAAGAAUGGAAUCUGUGGCUGAGCUCCGCGGAGGGAGAUUCCUUUUCUUUCCUAAGAAGUGAGUCAGUCAGUCUUCCUGUCCGGCCGUAACCCCUGGAGUUUUGACUGUCGGUCUUUCUCCUUAUUCGAUUAUAUAAUCCAAGUUGGGAGGGCAAGCUCUUGCUCCGAUUCCCUAUUCCCGAUUCCCUAUUGGGAGCUAGCGGUUCACAAGGAGAUAUAAAAAAGGUCGAAGAACAGCCUUGGGACCCAAUCUCGAUUGUUCUAUUAGGCGCGAAUGAGGUAUUGCCUAUUUUAGUACUGAAUGUCGCAAAUGAGGUGGUGCUUCAGAAUAAACAGAAUUCCGUAAUUCGGAAUAGUAGGAUGAAGGGUCUGAGCUUUGUUGGGCAACCCGGAGCGCACUCAAAAAAGGGAGCGACUGCGGUUGCCCGCCUCAUAGCAUCUAUCUUUUCUUUUCCUCUGUCCCGCGUGGCGUUUACAGGGUUCUUUCUCAUCGCAAUAUUCUUUGCACCUUCGGUUCUUUCUUUCCUUUCAGUUGUUCCCAGUCUUCCCGUAUCUUGCUUUAGGCUUUCGCCUUUCACUCCUAAUCUUUCUUUAGGCUUUGUCCUUUAACUCCUAAUCAAGAAAUUGCAGUGAGUCCUCAUAUCCUCCGAAGAGUGAGUCGCCUCACUUCCCAAGCGAGACCCCUAUCUUUCCUAAAAAAGGAGUGGACCCCACUCCCAAGCUAAGCUGCUAAGCGUGCUCCGUCUCUCGUCCGAUGAGAAGCCUCGUGCCCUCAUCCUUUGCUUCUUCUAUUUGCUUUUGGAAUUUCCUCUUCAAGAUUAAGAGGAGCGGCUGCUCCACUUCCACGCUUAUUAGAACAUUGGACCCCAGGUCCUUGCCUUUAUUUCUUUUCAUAAAUAGAGGCCAUUGGAUUCAAUCCCCGAUUUCCGCUCUGUCUAUCCUUUGUAUGGAUGUGUCUUUGAGCUUGCGUCCGCCUGCCUGCCUCCUGGGAACUGGUAUUAGAGCACAAGCGAGUAGGUUGAGUUGGCACUUUUGGAAGACUCGGUAAUCUGUAGAUAAAUAGGGUCCCUUUGCCCUUUCCUCGUUCUAAUAGAAGAGAAAAGGCUUUCUGGUAGGAACAUCUGGGCAAGUCCAAUGACAUCGUAUUUCUCCGUACGAAACUGGCAUCUUUCUUCUACGAAGAAUUCCUUCACUCGAAUUCAGUUCUUGUCCAGUGGCGGGAACCCCUGGGCCUCUAGAAAAGCCGCUCUCUUUCGUAUGCACCACCACAAGGUGGCAACAAUUCUUCCCUCUUCAAUCCUUUUCAGGUGGGAGUAGAACUUUAAAGGGAAGAUCCUUUCGGACCGGACCAGGGUCCCGUCUUCCUAAAAAGAUAGGGUAGGUCCUUGCCUUUAUUUCUUUUCAUAAUGGGAACAUUUCUAUUUUGAAGAAGGACUCUUUCAUACUUAGCGUCGAGCUCUUUGCCCAUCUAAGAGUUUCAGAAGAUGAUUCAGGUAGGCCCCCGGCUUUUCCUCGUAGAGAGUCCUCUCUGCUACGUGGUCCUGAAAUUCGUCAAGUACCCAAAGAUCAUGGAAGUCAUCUGCGCCCGAGUAGUCACUUUUCCUUGAACCCGUGGUGUAUACCCUUCGCGCCUGCUGCAGGAUGCAGAUCAUUAGUGUUUUUUGGGUACUCGGCUCUCCGUAGAGAAAAAGUUGCCUGCUUUUUCUCGGUCUCUUUGAGCCCACUACGCGGUUGACGGCAAGCCAAUCCAAAAGAAGGAAUUUCUCGUCCAAGUCCUCCGGUUCGUAGGCCUGUUGCCAUCCGUGCUCCCAUAGGUAAUUGGGAAUUCUUUCCAUUUCAAUCUUCUUUGAACCUACUUUUCUCAUUCUGGAAUUCCCUCCAUAAGUGUUCUAGGAUAUUGUACUUUACCCAUAAGACCCCUUGAAGCUGUGGAUCGUUUAAGACGCUGCUCCACGUCUCGUGUAUCCGUAGUCUCCGAAGGACGUAGUCCACUGGCAUCGUCUUUUUCCUUCCACUUUGGAAGGCGGUCUUCUUCCUUGUACUUGCUUGGGCCUCUGCCAGAAUCUGUUGUAGGGAGAACUCUCCCCAGACGAAGGGUUCCUUGUUUUCCUUGGUGACGUAGUAGCAGAGCGAUCCCCACGCCUUAUGGAAGGUGACCCAGCACUGACUGCCCUCGAAUUCUGGGAAUGAGGUGUGACUUGUCAAUAUUCUUUGAACCUCCCUUUCGGCUUGGGAAAGAGUAAGUCAAAUGAAUCUCCGAAGAUUCCUUUCGUUCACAACAGGACACACUUUGACUGAAAAUCCCUUUUUUUCAAAAGAGAAAUUCAAAUGAUAAGAUAAUAUAGGAGCUUCAAUAGCUAACAAUAGUGGGGCAAUCUAGAACUAACCCGAAGGUCAGCGUCUUCUCAUAUUUCAUUGACCCUAGCCCCCCCGAAGCUCCCUUCAAGGAGCUGAGCCAUAUACCAUAACCUCUAGACGAAAAACUCAGAAAUAAAGAGAAUCGGGAAAAAGAAACCUGACAGAAAACCUUUCUGCUCCCUCUCUCUCACGCAAUAUUCUUUCUCACCUUCCCUAAUGGAUAGUCCUUCGGACCUGUCUUAUGGCGCCGGAGUUAGGUGCAAAGAAUAUUGCGAGACCUCCCCGGACAGACGGGUUAAUAUGGAUAGUCCGGAGGACCUGUCUGGCCUUCGGACCUGUCUUAUGGCGCCUGAGGACAGGUCAAAAGAGAAAAAAGUCAGAGUUUGAAUCGCCCGCUUAUUAGCUUGAACAAAAAGGGGGUAUGUAGGUAUUGCAAGAAGAAGGCUUGGGAAAGAGAGAUAGCUGCUAAAGCAGCCACAACGACUUCUCCUGUAAAGAAGGAAGUGAAGAAAGAAGAAAAGCAAGCGGAACCUUCUGAUCCCGAUCGAAGAAGUCAAGGGAUAGCUGUGAGGCUUCGGCAACUGAGAAUGCUGAACCCCUUAGAAAAAGAGUGAUAGCGCGCGUCCUACUUCAAGAAAAUCUCACGAUAAAAUAAGAAGAGGACCGAGUCUCGCUUCUUAUCUAAACUUAUACAACUUCUUUCUCUCAUCAAAUCCCCCGUCCUUCGGACAGACAGGCGCAAUAUUGCUCUCUUUAUAUAUUGAUUACAAUAUCCCUGUCUUAUGGAGCCUUGAUUCUCUCUCAUUCUUUUCUUCUUUCAUUUCAUUCUUGUUUCCGAUUCCGAAGUCAUCUUAUCUUGUGCUCAUUCUUUCAGUUCAGUCAGUUUUGCCGUGCAAACAGCGGCUGAGUUGGAGUCCAAGAUUCAACUAGCAAAAAGAAAUUUCUCUUAAUGUAGGAAGAGGGACUUGCUCGACGGAGGUGUAGAGGGACGCCCCUAACUCUGAAUAUGAGUAGGUUCGGUUCGGAGCCUCGUUCUUCCUUUGAUAACCCCUUGUUGGUUAAUAUAUUGAAUUCGGGAAGUGGUAAGUAAGAAUCUCACAACAAGUGCUGAAACUGAUCACUUCUCCUUCAACCGGCACUGGUUGCUAGAACCACCGCCUCAAUGAACAUGAACAAGGGGCCUCAAGACCGGAUGGGAUGGUCCGUCCUCCCUCUUCUUCGGGAAGAACUAAUGAAAGCCGAGCAUUCCUGCCUUUGAAAGAUAGAAAGAAAGAGGCCUCUCGAAGCCUCCUCAUGAGGCGCCUUUCCCUGAUGCUUCCUUUUGUUUUGGGGACCAGCGGUGGGAGUUUGUCCUGCACACGAGCCCUUUGACUUCCUCUUUAUUUACGGAUCUAUUGUAUUUCAUCCACUGAUCUAUCCUACUUCUUCAUCUACUACCUUCCUCAUAAUUGCUUUUCAAUAAAGCGACUUCCAAACCGGGGACGAGACGAGACCAAAGCCUUUCAAUUCUCGGUUUCAGGUUCGUAUCCAGAAUAGGCUUUUUCUAAGUUUCCCCGAAGAAGAGAGGAGAGGACCCCCAGACCCAUAAGUUCAGGAGAUAGGCUCGAGAGUUAAGGAGAGGAUCGAUGAAAUCCACAGGUCGCAAUAUGCGCCUUAUCAAUGAUCUUUGCUCCUCAAGAGGUGAAAAGAAUAUUUCAGACUUAGAGGAGAGGUUCCAUAAGACAGGGAGGGGCGGCUCGCCGACGAGAUUUUUUAGAGGGAGAGGCGCAAAGAAUAUUGCGGAAAAGAAAAGAAGCUCAUUAACGACUACUGGAUAAAGAAGUCCUUCGGACGGAACAUGGGAAUACAAAAUAAAGAGGUGAAUAUGGGAGAUUUCAGACUAGUCCUUCGCGGAGGGAAAUACAAGAUUUUGCUAGGGCUCGACGAUAAGGAGAGCUGAAAAGAGACUGGUCCGGAGUCCGGAGUCCGCAGGGCCAAAGAAAGGUCCAGGGUCCGGAGUCCGCAGGAUUUAUCCUACGUCCGGAGUCCGGAGGAUUCUUAUCCGUAGGACUAUCCAUUAGAAGUAGGACCAUCCAUAUGGAAGGAAGUAGGACUAUCCAUUUUCAGUCGGACUUUCCGUAAUUAACCGAACUUUGCGCCUUUGUUUUCCAGCUUUCCCUUUCCAGCGGAGGGAGCGGACACCGGAACCUUAUUCCCACCAACGGAGGGGAGCGGACACCGGAAGCUCCGCGGAUCGGUGGCUUCGCCCUUUACAUUUUCAGCGUAGCAAGGCGCAAAGAAUUUGCGGGCUCUCAUCUCAAACUGUAUGAUGAAGUCGCUCCGCUACGGGGUAGCUUUCGCUCCAAGAUCAAAAAGAUAGAGUAGCUACGCGUAGGGGCACAAUCCAAGCAGAUGAAGGAAGUCGCUCCGCUCCCUCUGGCUCCGGGCAGAUUAAGUAGCUACGCUCUCAAUAAAGAUAGAGUCGCUCCGGUCCUAAGUAGCUUAAUAAGAAGUUUCAAGAGCAGAGUCGCUACGCGGAAAGGAUAAAUAAAGUAGUUUACGGCUCUUUCCGCUACGCUUCUGCUCCUCGCAAAUUCUUUCCGCCUCGCAUAUGCGCCUUCUAUAUAUUCUUUGCACUGGGGGAGGGGGGAUUUGAGUUCUAAUAUCAUUAUCUUAUUAUAUCUUUUCAUCUUUUCUUCUUCAUAUCUUCGACUUACUUUUUCAGGGGAAGAGUGCGGAGAAGCGAUUUAAUCUAAUAGGAGUGCAAGUGCAUUUUUAGAUGCUCCCUAUUUCAAGAAAAAGGUAGUAAAGCUAAGCGAUCGACCAUGAGUGCACAAUUACGGAAUCAGUCCUCACAGGACCUUGUUUUCGCGAGUGAGCCCGGGAGUGUCUUCCGGAAUCGAGGAAAUUCACCUUUUUGAAGUUACAGUCUCGCAGUUGAACUCCUCUCCGCUCUGGUCUCGCUUCUGAUCGAAAGUCAACUUCGUCAAAGGCCCUUGCCUUCUUACAAUUAAGGAUAGUGAUUCAGAGUUGAUACAGUCAAAAUCAAGCGUGGGUGGUCUCGACUCAAUUCCAUCUCGCCUUUCUGCCUCUUUCUCUUCCCUUUCUUCUGAUCCUUUAUUCCGAUCCGAAAGAGAGAAUGAAAUGAAAGAAUAAGGAAUAAUCCCACGAGGCGAAGCUUGGACCGCUCUGGCGGACAAGUGCUACAGAGCAGAAUCAUAAUAGACAAGGAACUUUCAAGCUCAAGGGAUGGGAUGCCUCUCCAACUAGUAGGGAGCUGCUUACUGCGCUUCCUUCUAACUUCUAACCUGGCGCCUUGACCUUCCUCGUCACGGGAUCCCACGUAGGGGGAUGGCAUGGUAGCGAUGGGUUCUAGAACCGAUAUAUAUAACCUGCUUUCCCUCGGCGCGUCUACUUUCUUGCUUACCUGACUGAAGAUUGACGAGAAAUAGCAGCAAGGCCGCAUCCUCUUUCUCUCUCGCUUUCCAGCGAAUCAUUUUCCCUUUGGGCGGAGGUUUCUCGAUCAUCAUUCCCUUGAGUAUGAAAGAGCAGACUAAAGCAGCGGUCUAAUUCCCCUUCCCAGGCAGGCAGUCUCUAAUUAGAAUCCCAGGAUUCAGCCGAGAUAAGUUAUGCAUGAAAGAGCCUAACUAAAGAAAUGAUUAUCGCAUGGGCGACCUCUAUCCCGAUCGAUUCCCCCUCAGAGUCGAGCCGCUUUCUGAGUCGCCCUACUCCUUCCUGGCUGCAGAUACAUUAUUGAAUGAGAUAUAUGACUGGGGCCCCACGUAGCGGUAGGAAUUUGGAUGCUUGCCCAGUCUUUUGAGGAAAACUCUUUCCCUUGGUUCUCUAUUGCCUAUGGAUGAACGAAAGCAAUGCUUGCUAUGACUGGCAGCACUCUUCGAGUCACUUUUAUUAGAUUUGAAAAUCUCAAAGAAUGCAGUUUAUAGAUAAAUAAGAAAAGCCUUAGGAAUAAGGAUCUCAUUCUCUCGCUUUCUACUACAACUAAAGCUACUGCUACUUCUCGAAACAUCAACUUCUUCGGAAACCUCCCUUUCAAAGAAAGAAGACUCCGCAUCCGGAAUUGAGUAAACUCCAUUGGUCCAACUCGAAUGAGGGUCAAUCUUUGAACCUUUCACAGCAGCUUCCGAUUGAUCCGGAUGGAUCUUACCUUUAUGCCUGGUAAAUGACCUCCCCGGACCAGUUUCCUCUUGGCAAACUCGGUGGGGUGGAGGUGGAUCCCUCUUCUUCCUCUUUAGUCCCUUUCUCAUUCCUAUUGAGCGCCACGGACUCUGUCUCGAUUCCCUUUCUGCCAGGAAAAGAAAAUGCAAACAAAGCGCUUCGUACUUCUCCCGAGCUACUAUGAAAAUGGACUUUUUACGUUAUUAGAUCAAAGUCUCUAUUUACGCUAUUUUUAGUCAUUUUGGAAUAGUCCGAAGGCGCAAAGUUGCGUCCUAGGCUUGAUGAAUGAAAGCUAUAAAAGCAGAGCGCAAAGAAUUUGCGAAACAAGUCCUCCGCUUUCGCCUCAAAUUAAUGGGAACCUUGGUCUAAUCAAUCACAAUUGAUUAAGAAUCUUUGACCCGUCCUCCGGACUAUCCAUUAGGAUCUGGAGCCUUUGUUUUUGGAGUAUUAAGACCGCUCCUUUCAGUUAUUUAACAGCUUUUUUUCGGAAUAAUACUUUGAUAGUGGAAUCAGACUUUUUAAGCUAAAAUAAUGAAAGGCCUAUCCAUUAGAGAAUUUGACUUGCGACUAAAAAAAGAAAAGCUCUAACUCCUCCGGACUAUCCGUAUGAACCUAGCCUUCGGACCAGAUGAGUUGAAUGAAGAAUGAAUCUACCCUUUACCGCUAAAUAGGAGCAGCAGCAAAAGCAAAGGUCUAGAUUUUCUGACUCAUCUGGACCUUUCUUUGAGAAAACCAAAAUCAGAGCUAUCCCUAAUGUUCUUCUUUGAGCCUUCGGAGCGGGAGGGCUCCUUUUUAGUGGACGCUACUUGAUUAUGGGGGGAUGAGACCCAACUAUAAGACUCAAUCUUAGACUUUUCUUAUCUAAGGCCUAAUUAUAAGGCGCAAAGAAUAUUGCUCAUUUGAGAUCAGGUCCAUAUUAAUAUUAACCUGUCACCUGGACCUUUGUUUUCCUAAUUAGAAUAGCGAAUAGUCCUCCGCCUCUAGUUCCCACGUAGCUAAAGAUUCACCGAAAAUCUGAGCAAUAUUCUUUGGGCCUCUGUAGCUUAAUAUGGGAACCUAAUCAAUAUAUAAAGACUUCUUGAAUAUGAAUUCAUCCUCAUCUGGAGCCUCCUUUGUUUUUCUUUAAAGUAAUAGCUAUGAAUAGUCCAAAAACAAAGGUCCGAAGGCGCAAAGAAUAUUGACGAAAAGAAGAAUGAACUCAUUAACGAGAAUGAAAGAAGAAUUAUGAAUCUCCUAGAUUGAAGACGGAGGGUCAAAGAAUAUUGAGAAGAAUAGACCCGUAUUUCUCCGGACCAUAAACUCAAACUAGAACUGAGAAAUGUGAAUUUCGAAAAUCAAAUAGGACAAUGCCUUGCUAUUUCCCGGCUUUUUUGCUUCUAAAUGUGACUUUUUCGACUUAUCUUAUCUAACGAUAAAAGUACUUUUUUGACGGAUUUUUCAUGAUUUCUUGCUACUUUAUAGGCCCAAAACCUAGCAAAAUCUUGUAUUUCCCUCCGCGGAUUCAUCUGAAAUCUAGCUCUGAAAUCUAGCAGAUUCAUAAUUCUUCUUGACUUUUCAAUUCUCGUUAAUGAACUUCUCAACAAGAAAAGAAAGAAUUGAAUAUGGAUAAAGAAGUCCGAAGGACUGAUUGAUGCUACCGCCUUAACUACGGCUACUGCAACAACGGAAAGGGAUGCCUAAUCCUCAGGUCUCGUCUUCAUGAAAGGCGUGUCCUAGUCGAAUGAAAGAAUGCUGGCCUAUCAAAGAAAGAUCUCAUUCUCAAUUCUGAGACCCCUAUUAGUCCCCUAUGUUCCGAGGCUAGUCCUCCCCGUUCUCGAUCGAUUGAUACUGGACGGUGGGUGACCGCCUUAUCCGACCCCUGUACAUUAGUCGAUUUUCAUCCAUCGGUCAAAGUCAAAGAAAACCCAUUCUUCACAGGUUCACCAAAAAGAGAGGCAUUUCACCGCCUCAUCAAUAUUGUGAGAUUCAAAUAAAUUAGGCUUGAUUUGAUAUUGGUCAUUCUCGAGCUUACCACCGAGCGAUCGAAGGACGGAUUCAACCUCUCAUGCCCUAGCCUGCUGUUCCGAUUUCAAUGGCACCUACUUAACGGAUGAACUCAAGAAAGAAGAUUUCCGCUUUCUUUUAUGCAUCGCACCUCUGUUCUCGCUAUGUGCCUAUUUUAGUAGAAUGAAUUCCCUUGAACCAAUAUCCGAAGUUGCAGGCUCCCAUAAGACAGAGAUAUUCUUUGCCUUCCACUAAAAAACUUGUUUAUCCACUAUCGUAGGCCUUCUUCAAUUCAAUGGGGACCCUAGUGUACGAGCCUAAUGCUCUUUAUUUGCUUCUGCCGAUUCCCCGCUUGGAUCAGACAAGGCGGUAGAAGUUUGACGGAUAGUCAAGGAUCCCUCUUUCUGAAAGUAUGUCAAGAGCAUACUUGAGCUCAGAAAGACACACACCAUGCUAUCAUUGAUCUACUGAAAUGCCAAGUCUGGAAAUCUUGUUAAGAAAUGAUGCCCACUACGCGGUUGCGGCUCUUGAGCUGAGCCAGUUUCGAUUCUAGCCGUUCUUGAUUUCGAUAGGGAAUGAAAGGCCUAAUAACCUUGAACUGGUCGAAAGGAUUGAUGUAUUUCCAAGUCAAAAGAGAAAUCACGCUAUUCAAGCUGAUCGAAACUAAGCCAAAGACUUCAACGCGAACAAGAGCGAGGGCCUAUCCGGGAACAACCUGUCCUCCGCUCUCGCAAUAUUCUUUGCUCCUUACUAUUUUUGCGUAUAUACCCUUGUUUUUCUUCCGCGCCUACUCCGAUCAUUCUUUGAGCCUCCGUAGGUCCUCUCUUUCUAGGUCAAUGCAAAUUCAGGCUCAAGAUGAGAUUCUUUCUUUUUCCAUAUUAACUUCUUAAUGGUAUACAAGAAAAGGAUGGUAAAAUAAUGGUAUACAUGGAUGAAAUAAGCCAAAGGCUAGAGGGUCAUGAAUAAGGCGUGAAAUUCCCUACCACUGUGAUCUAGCAACUUCUACUGCAACUAAGACUUAUGAAAGCGACCGCUGCCACAAGAAAAGCUAGGACCCGCCCGCUUCCUCCUGUUUAGCUCUCACCUUUCUCUUCUCUCGACUUCUAAGUCUGAUCAAUUCUCAACUCAUCUGGAGCUUGAUUUUUCAAUUCUGUCGAGGUUAAGGCUUUGCUUCGCUUCCAUCGAUCCGCGCCCUACGAUUGAUCUUACCCUAGCUUACUCCCCUAUUCACUCACACCUUCAGACCUCGGUCCCGAUCUGGUCAAUCCAAUCAAUCCAGUCGAUCCUGAAAGCAUUACAUACUUGAUUCUCCUACUCUCAUUCAGUUACUCUUUGAGUCUCUCAUGAAAGAAUGAAAUACCUUUCCGCCUACCCACCCGGAAGUCAAAACCUAUCUUUAUAGAAGGAGGCGCCAUAAGACAGGUCCGAAGGACUAUCCAUUAGGGGAUUGAGAGAGAACUCAAAUCAAAACCGAUGUGAAUUCAGGCUAAAAUCAAGGCUUUUGACUCCUCGCAAUAUUCUUUGCGCCUGUCUGUCCGAAGGACGGGAUAUUCUUGCUAUUACUUUGAAAACAAUGUAGAUGUAGAAAAGAUUCCACAAAUAUUUACGGGAGAGUAGGUAGGUCGGAAGGGGGAAUCUCAGCUCCCUCAAGAGGAAAGGAAUCGUCCGAGGCAGUGGAAGUCUACCUUUCAUCAUCAGAGGCAGAAGUGGUCAGUCGUAGUUGUAGUUCUUCUUUCAGUUGCUUUAGUUCUUCCAGGAGAAGUAGCUUAGUAGUUCGAUCGAUCGGGUGCGGUUAUCAGAAGCUCUCCUGUAGCCGCUCGACUUGAGAGGGUCCCUCUCUCUCCUAUUCACACCGCCUCAAUGGAUCUCUCUUUCUCCGCAACUAAUAUUUCAUUGAGCCUCUCUCAAAUUCUUUGAGCCUUCCGAAAGCAAGAUAAAAGAUAGGAGAGUUGGACAAAGCAAGAACUCAGAUAGAGGAAGAAGACAAAUUAUCCGUUAGAGGAAUGAUCCGUAGAAAGAUUAUCAGCUAGGGAACGGAAAGAGUUGGAGUCUGUAUUCUCUGGAUCGGGUAGAAUCUCCAUUCAGUCCCGUAAAGUAAAGCUGCUGAUUAAGUAAGAAAGGCCGAGUUCCAUAUGAGGGUAGACCGAGUUGGAGCCCUUGCUCCUCUUCCUGUGUGAGGAAGGUUGCCCUUGUUUUGUUCAUUGAGGCGGUUCUUGCUGCUAUAAUAAUAAGAUCAGACUUCUCUUCUUCGAUCGGUAAGCUCCUUAUUCAUGAAAAGGCGGAUUUCUCUUUUUUCUCUAUUUGGGCAAUGCUUCUUGUUAAAGACUCUUUUGUGACUCUGAAAUCAAGGGGUCGAUGAAAUUGACGGAUUGAGCCCACUCCGCGGGAAGAACUUAUCCACGAUCUUACAAUAGACCUGUCAGUAUCCGGACCAUAAACUCAAACUAGAAGUCUGAAUUUCUUUUACCUGUCCUAGGCUUGAUUCUUUCAUUGCAAUUUCCCGGCUUUUUUGCUUCUAAAUGUGACUUUUUUGAAGAUUGAUAUUUAACGAUAAUUGAGUGAAAAAGAAGGCAUUUGACUUGAUUUCUUGCUACUUCCCUAUGGGCAAAACCUAGCAAAAUCAUGUAUUUCCCUCCGUAAAAACAAGGUUAUGAAAUCUGAAUUAUUCUUGAAUUCGAGUUAAUGAGUUAAUUCUUCUUUUCUUUUUUCUUGACUUUUGUGCCAUACCAUAAGACAGGUCCUCCGGACGGUGCAAAGAAUAUUGCGUGGAACUGAAAAGAGCGCGUAGUGGGGAGCAGUUCAUUUAGAGACGACGGAGCACUCCUCUUGAGUCGUUUUCUCCCUUUUCAAAGGAGUCUUAUUCCCCAAAAUAGGAGUAUUCAGAGUAGGAGCAAUGACGAAAGGAUGCAGAUGCUCCCUAGUUGGAAGGUGGGCUUUCUUCUUCUUCUUCUUCUUCCUCUAAUUCAUACUAUAUUACUCUCUUCUUUCUUUGUAUGUAAUUUAGUAGGUUCUUGUCUUUUAUUAAGUUCUUAGGGGAAAAAUGUGCAAAUUGGACCUGCAAGAAAAGACCUCAAAAUGGGUUCCCCAUGUGCCGUGCCCUCCCAUGGGGCGGUCGAGCGAGUGCCUCUUACCUCUUUUUCUUCUGCUUUUCUCGUACUAAUGGAUGGAAGAGACUGCCCCACCCAACUCCAGGCUGAUCUUCGGAAACGGACUUUCUCACGGGUUGAAGCAAUGAAAACAGCUGUUCGUUCCUAUUCUCCCUAGCUUCGAAUGGAACUCACUCUGCCUGGGCACCUCUAUUUUAGAAUUACCUUUUAGAAAAGAGGCUACUUCUGCAGCCACAAAAGCAGCUAAACCACUCCCUAUUCCAAUGGAUCCGUCCUCAGUCGCAAAGUGAAUUUCUAGGCGAAGCGAAGGCUGAAUUCAUUGAGUUGCGGCUAUUACUUUGAAGAUAAGGAAGAAGAAGAUCUUCUUUCUCAGCCGAUACAGGCCUUGAAGCCUCAACGGAGACGGGUGGACGGGCACUGGGGUAACUCUCCCGUAGAUCAGUCUAUGAGCCUUCCUUAUGGUUGGGGCCUUUGUCCUUAUGGUGGGAGCUUGUCCCUCUUGUACGAGAGCAGGUAUUCUACCGCUACGUGGGUUACUGAAUUUGCGGAUUUAUGAUUCCGUAUUUCAUCCAUUUUGACUUGUUCAUAGAAAAUAGUCUAAAUAAUAGCUUUUUUGGAAGGGCCUGCAAAUAGCCACGACUUCUGCCACAGAGACAAGGACUAAAGGAUAAGCACUGCUGGUCGAACUGCCGGUUCUGGGUCUCGUCUUUGGUACUCUUUGGGGCAGAAACCUAUAUACCUGGGAGGGACGAAAGAAGGCGCUUAAAGCCUGAGCCUCUUGUUGGUAGGGUCUUCGAAAGUAGAAAGCCACUACGCGGUGAUCUGGGGCAUACACCUCUCUUUAUGCAACGAGAAAAGAGUCCAUAAACCCCGUUCAUGAAAAAGUACUCUUUCUUCUCUUUUCUCUAUUUAUAAACGAGAUCACGAGAAUGAAAAACAAGGGAUUGGACUAGUCCAUUGUUCAUUUUCCCUCGGCCCCAAACUCAGGAUCUUCAGGCCCACGGAGCGGUUUUGGGCAGCAAGUCUUUCUCUUUUACGGAUCUAUAAUGUAUUCCUCUUUCUUCAGAGUAAGCAAGCUACCUUCUUUUAGUAGCGAAUCCGGAAUAGGUCAUCCGGAAACUGGAAAGUCUCCCGUAUUCAGUAAAUCUCUCUCUGUUCUCUCUAUCUCUCGGAAAGGGGCCAAGCAAUCCUCUUCCACGCAAUAUUCUUUGCACCUCCUUCCUAGAAAUCUUGCUUCCUGCUUAGCAGUCUGACUUCUUUACUGGUUCCGCUUCCCUUCUUUUAAAAGAUACUAGUUCCCGUCCUGAUCUCUCUCAUGAUAAAUAAGUCGUGAAGGUCAGAUGGUGGGGCAGUCUAUUCCUAAUGCAAAUAUCCCCGGGACUUAUCUCACCAUUUCUCGUCCCGAUAUUGCUUAUCCUGUCCAUGUGCUUUGGUUAGCAAAUUAGAAAACUCACCUCCUUCUGUGAGGAGAUUCGGCCGGGGUGGGCUAAGCUAAUCAGCAGGCUUAUUCAGACAUGCUUAUGGACAGAUAUGGAUUCUAAACUUGAUUGGCUUAGGCUUAGUCGACCUACCUGAGGAGUUUUCUUCCUCUUUACGGGUUCUAACCGCUAGUUCUACCGCGUAGUGGGGUCAAAACCCGUCCUCGCAAUAUUCCAAAUGGUUGACGUUCCCACUUCCUUCCGCAUUCAAAGUAGCAGUCUAAUAAUAGAAGGAUCGAGAUGAAUGUGAAAGGUCACACCAAUAGGAAGCAGAUAAAGAAAAGAGGAUGAUAGCUCGAGAGCAAGAUUAAGGAUGCCUUGGUGGAAGAGUCAAGUGAGGACAGGUUGGGGUAGAAGGAGCAAGCGAGGCAGAAUUGAAAGGUAGAAAAGAUAGAGAAGAAAAAAGAGUUCUGACUUUCUUAUCGACUUAUAUCUUUCAAAUUAAUCUCUGAUUAUUUCAUUCGCAGAGAGAAAGAUCAAUGACCCACGGGGCAAGAGACUUAAGAAACUGAAGACGGAGUCAAAGCCUUAAAUCAAGACUGUCAGAGAGUUAAGGAAGAAUCCUUCUCCGCGGCUGGAUCGGAAGAAAGAAGGAAUAUAUGCUCGAUCUUCUUCUUAUUUUGAGUUGUGAAUAUCUGAAGAAAGGAGAGAAAGAGAAAGUCUGAAUACUCUAAGUCUUCUUCUCAUUCUUUUCAUUGAUAGCUUUCUUAUCUUUUUUGAUUAUAUUUUUGAUCAUAGAUCUUCGAGAUCGAGAUUUGGAAGAUUCCACACGCCACGCUUCCUCGCUUCGAUCAAGAUGGGGAACCGCAUUCAAUGGCGAAUGAUAGCUCGCCUCGCUCGGGUCCUUUCAAUCAGGUACAGGUAUCCUUUUAUUUACUUUCAUAAGAGAAGAGAGAAUGUGCAAGGGUAAGCAUCGAUCCUAAUCGUCUCGGGAUCUCUUCCCUUUCAUUCAGUUGAGAUCCGUCCGAAGGUGAAAAGAAUAUUGACAAGACUUCCAGGUGCGAAGGCGCCAUAAGACAGGUCCGAAGGACUAUCCAUUAGGGGAUUGAGUUGGGGCUAUUAUUUUGGUUUUGAGGGUGAAAAGAAUAUUGACAAGACUUAACAGGAGUGCAACUGAUUAAUGGAACUUUCAAUGAAAUAGUCCACCUUCUUCUUCUUUAUUACCGAGAUUUGAAAUGAAAGGCUACCGAGGUCUGCGUACGGGGGGUUUGGUUUGGGCAAUUCCACUUUGUCUUAAGAAUCCCAUUCUCAUCUCAGCCUCGCGAGCAUGACUUAGCGAUCGUCGCUUCCUACCUCAAAAUAGGAAUAUAAUAUAAUAAGAGAGAAAAUCUCAGACCAUCUCGACGAGGCCACUCGGGUCUAGAGUCCCCUCGACUUAAUAUAAUAAGAGAGGAAUUCAUUCUAGAAUUCCGUCUUACAAGAAUUUGAACUUUCAUGAUUCCACUCUGCACCCGACUGAAACUAUUCGCGCUGAACUCAGCUCCGGAACUGGUCUUGAUUCCCUUUCUGACUAUGCUAUGAGAAGGACUUUCUAUUUGUCUGGAUGGGAAACUUCCGCGUAAACUCGGUAUCCUCGGGUCCAUGAAAUUACCCACGGAUACUAUUCUUUCAUUACCGCUCCGUGGGCUCAGAGGCUACUUUCUCACGACUCCUUCCACUGGUCUUGAUUUCGUAUUAAUCGGUCCUGUGCGCGAUCGCCUGGUCGAACCCCUCGGCCGAUUCUCGAGUUAUUUCAUUCCUCUUCCCCAGCCUCAGCCUCUCGGGCUUUUAGUCUUUUUCUUUGUUAACGAAAGAAUGGAGGAUGCCUUGGAAUAUGCUCCAAAGUAUGAAAAGAAAAAAAACCUAGGCUCCUACUAAACGAAUAAGACGGAAGAGAACUGAGAAACCCCCAGCGAAAGCCUAUCCUCGACUCCUUGAGUCCUUCGUAGCAGUCUUUUUUCGCAUUCUCUUUCAUUCUUAGCAGCCCAGCUAUCAGGGGGCUCUCCCGUAAGCCUCAGAGAUUCUUCAUGGUGGCAGAGAUCUAGGCCCGAUUUACCUGACUAUACCUUAUUCUAAGGGCAAAUAAACCUUCUUAACCGGCCUUCUCUCUCAUUCAUCUUCCGGUGGAAGGACUAAUAUUAGCAAAGCAAAAACCUUGUCCAUAUCUUUUCUUCUCCUUUUCUUCCAAGUUGAUGGAAAUUCGAAAUCUUUCUUCUCUUUUCUUUCUAUAUAAAGGAUCAAUAAGUCCUCAUCCAUUUGGUGGAAGCCAGCCUAUACCCAAAAGUGCAUUUUUCUCAAUUCUCCCUCUCUUUCGUAAAGAGAGCUCUGAUCGACUUCUAUAACUCUGCACUCUUCCCCUGCACAUAAUCAGAUAUUCAGAAGAAAAGAAAUUAACUCAAGCAUAGUCAGAUUUGGAAUACUCUUUCAAUCAAAAGUGCUAAUUUGGAAAGAAGAAGGCUCGAUUCAAGAGUCCAAUGCGGCUACGUCUUCUUAGCCAGAUGAAGGUCAUAGGUCGGUGGGGAAUAGGGCAUGGCCCAGUUCAAAGCCCCGUGCAUCGCGCCUCGUCUCGACUUUCCUUUGUCCUUGGGGAUGGUGUGUGUGAUCUUUCUAUCAUCAAGAAUAUGUCAAGAAGAAGAGAAAGAAAAAAAAGCCUUAGACAGCAGACGAAGAGGAGGAGGGCGAGGGCAGGAUGAAAGAGAAAGAAGAUCUUCAGGACUCGAGGCGGAUACUAGGUUUUCCCGCUCCGUGGGCGACUUUGAAAACAUCCAGACUGAAAAGGAUUCAAAAUAAUUAAUUCGCACUAUAGAGAAGGAGUCUAUCUAAAUCUAAUCGGGACUUAGCUUAGAGAAAGAGAGCAUCCUUUAUUGGAAGUUUCCAUCUUAAUGAAAUUAAGGUAUCCUCUUCCCUCUCGGUUCUAGAACUCAGGAUUGGCGCGCGAGCGAACCCUUGUCCGGAAGCUCUUUCUCAUAUUUCAGAGGGGCGAAGCCAGGUAGGGCCCACGUAGCGGUGAUUUGACCACAAGACUUGAAUGGGAAAACCUUGCACCCGGCUGGGUCCUUCGCCCUAACUCCACUCGAGCUCCGAUCCCAGGAUCAUCAUCUGCGGCUAGGCUAAUUCAGUCAUGAAAGGAAGACAGCGGGCGAUAGGUUAUUUGUCCUCAACUCAUAUCUUAACUAAGACUUCUCCACCUUAAGAGAAAGAGAAGAGUUAUCGAUAGAGAAAAGUCAAUGAACAAGGCGAUCAGAAUUUGAGGGAGAGUUAUCGACUGCUUAUUAGAAUUCUUUGCGAGCCCGGUACGAUUUCUUGUAAUAUUAUAUUCUAUUUGAGUCCAAUGAUGAAAAGCUGUCAAGGGCGAUCGGCUAAUCGUACCACGUAAUCCUUGUAAUCGUGUGAGUCCACGAAUCCUCUCUUUCGGAAGAUCAGCCGAAACCGACCGGUCGGGGGUGUGAAGUAAAGCUAUCACUCAAGAUUCAGAGUGGGAUCUCCACUCUUCCCCACUACGCAGUGCGGCACAGGAAGAUUUUUCCAUUGAAUAAGAUUCAUUCCCCAUGCGUAUAUUCAUCACUCCCACUGGCGCAUUGAAAGCAAGGGCCUCGACCCAGCUAUGAGAUCUUUCAUUCUCAAUUAGAUAGAGGCGGAUCCGUCCCAGUUUGGAGAGGGUGCCUGUGCCGCUUGAAGUAGAAGUUCUUCGUCUUCUGGCUCGGUCCCAUCAGAGAUUGAGUCUUUUCAGGAUCAGUUCUUCGAUCGGUAAGCACCGCUACGUGGGUCACUCGUCGGCUAAUAGCCAACUACCUGCGAAAGUAAUAAGAAGAUAUUCAGAAGAUCUAAGAUAAAUAGUCAAGAAUGUCUUCGUCAUCAUAUAAGGAGAAAGUCCUCUUCAUUCUUAAUAAGAAGAUAUUCAAAAGCGGACUUUCGUAUUAGUUCCAUUAAUCAGUCCUCCUUUGUCUACAUAGGUAUUAUGACUCAUCUGGAUACUUUCUUUUUAGUCCUUCUUUAGUUCUCCGCAAUAUUCUUUGCGCCUACGUUAGGCUCCAUAAGACCGCAAUAUUCUCAAUCUUCAAAGAGCCUUUCCUCUUUUCCGCAAUAUGUGAUCGCCAUUCUCUUCUUUGCAAAGGCGGAAGAUCAGUCUUAUUCCAAUAAUAUCCGUCAUGAUCCCUUUAAAGCAGACGUUAGGAGCGAAAGCCGCUCGACUGUAAGGCUAAAUGUGGGGCGCAGUUAAGGCGCGAAGCGAAGCGCAUUUAUCUAAGAAGAGAAAACGAGUCAAGAGGACGGAGUGCAAGGCGCAAAGAAUAUUGCGACUUUGCGGGGAAGAGUCAUCAGCUAUCUUUCAAUCCACGAGGAAUAUUCGGACAGGUAAGAAAGAAGAGAAGAGGGCCCAGUAUGAAGGAAUUACAUAAGUUCAGCCCCUCGACGUAGAAGAGAAGAAGCUCCCGAGUCUGGCAGAAGGAGAUCUUUCAGAAGUAGGAGUUCUUGUGGGAGGCUUUACCGCUACGUGGGCCCUUAUCGAUAGGGCAUUGAAUGAGACCUAACCUUGAUUAUUUCUCAAUUUCCUGGCAGUCAAAAGAUCUCCUUUCUUUUUGCCUCGAUCGAUCGAAGGAAGAAGAAGCAACUUCUCCUUCUUAUUAAAUUCAAAGAAGGAGGAAGAAAGAGAUAAUCCCGCGGGCACCCUAGAUCAGAAUCAGAAGGUCAAUCAUCCGGGAGAGCUUACUCUUUCGCUUUCAGGUACCCUUACCGACCCCUUUCUUUCUCUUUCUGACCGUCCUCAAUUCCACCUCUGUUCUUGCUUUGCGCGCCUACUUCUUCAUCAUUCUAAGUUUCUUUUCUCUUUCUCUUACUCAUUACUCACCUCAACUCUUAUUAAGACAAUUCCCUAUCCCUUAACCCUACGCGCACCCGUAGGUCUCGCUCCUUCACACCUCUCCCGAUCCUUCUUCCUCUUCCGAAAGAGAAAAUACUCAAUCUGAAAGGGAAGUUUCUCCCUAUCGGUCCUUAUUUCUUAUCAAUUCAGGAAGAAGGACGCGCUCUCAUACUCAGAUUUCAGUGACUGAUUCCGAUGCGUCGAGAUAUGAUAAGAAAAAAUACGGGAAAGCUUUUUCAAUAUCUGAAAGACGGAUGCCUACUUCCACGGCAAACUUCUGACUUAACCUAUCGGUGGUCUGUCUAUUCUACCCUCCUUCUUUCUUAUCUUUCUCCUGCGGACCUCUUCCUCCGAGACUGGGACAGCGGAGUGGAGCAUUUCUUCCUUUUAUGACAGGCCGAUCGAUCCGAUUUGACCGGGAUGCUCAAUUUCAUCCAAAAAUUCAGAAUGAAUAAGAAAUCCCCUAUUUCUCUGGAUGGAAGUUGGAACCGCUCGGCCAUUGGCUAGUCAUUUCUUAGGGAGAAUAUCAAUUUCCCACCUAGCGGCCUCAAAACCUUUGAACUCUCUUGAUAUGAUAAUCAUGACUUAGAUAAGCAAAGUAGAGAAAAGAGAAAUAAAAUAAGUAAGGCUCAAAGAAGAUUUCGAAAAGAAAGACUCAAAAUCGAAUCAACGGCAAAUAAAAGAGAGAGGAAACCUACGAAGAAAAAAAGCUUUACUAAAGGCCUACGAAGCGAAGCCUUAUCUCUUCUUAUGUGGAAUCAGACGACUCCUUCUCCAGGCUAGGUGCUUUUCAAUCAAAAAAAUAGUUAUGAGGAAACUUUUCCUAUCUUAUGAGAUCUGAACCAUUCUUUAAUAAAAGAGAAAAGAAAGAUCAAGCCUAGCGAAGCGAAGGAGCGCAAACCAAAGGGUAUCUUUUCUUUCCGAAAUGGGACAUGAGAAGGAGGAGUCGUCUUCGUCUGCUUCGGUUCUUUCUCUUUUUUCUUCAUGCAUGAGACCGGAAGUCCUCCCCUGGCAAGGUCGGACAUCGUAAUUAACCAGAGUCGAAACCCAAGGUUUCCUCCGUGACCCCCUACAAUACCCUAUUAUUGGAAUAACUCCUAUCGGAGGGCUCAAGACGAGAAAAGAAUUCUCUCAAGAGAAGCUCGACUGAGAUGGACGAUCAAAGAAUAUUGAGAAAGAAUAUUGCGUGAAAAAGAAGGGUAAUUAUUACGCGGGAAGAGGUUUCUUUUCCCACGGUUUUGGCUCUUGCCCUUGUUGCAGGAGAUCUUGGAGUUGGAGUGGGAGCUCUCUAUUAUUGAAUAGAAUAUUCUAUUCUCUCAUUCUUUGAGCCUUUCAAAAUCAGGGUAAGGACGGAUCCCGCGCCAUAAGUAAGGAGACAGGGAAAGAGACCCAAGCAAAGAGAGUGGAUUGCUCUACCCACUACGCGGUUACGAGGCCUGGGCGAAAGGCUGGAGGUGUAGAGGAAGAGGUGAAAAGAAGAUUUCCGCGACCAAAGAGUCUAACUAAAGAAAGAGGUGAAAAGAGGAUUUCCGCUUGAUUUUAGCGGUAGGCUUUCCUUUUAUUCAGUAUUUAUUAGGUUACUUCUUCUCCUUUUGAUAGGCUUUCUUCCUUUUAGUCCUUUCAUGAGUCGAUCCGGGAAAGGGGCAUGAUCGCUUUCAUUCUCCCCGUUGGUCAAGGGGGAGGUGUCCCCGGGACGGAGUGCAAAUAGCUUAUUUCUGAAUUUCUUAGAAAGAAAGAAGCAUCUCGACUAGGAGCAAAGCAACUCUUCCAAUCCAUCUUGAUUGUAUAGGUUUCAUGAGAGGGGAAUAACUACGAAUGGGAACUUCAAGUUUUUGAAGUAGGAUCAGAGGCGGAUUUUCGGGCGGGGAGGCAGUCCCAGUUGCGAGUAAGUAGGAUAACCGAGAGGAGACAAAGAAGGCCCAUAGCUGGAUAACUAGGCAGACGAGGAUCGGAUAAGAUAAGAAGCUUUCUGCAUCCCACUUCUGCCACAGACUCUGACUCGUAAACUCCCUUGAACCUCGAGCUACUUUCUGACGAUUACUCUCUCCAGUCGCUCCUAAUCCGAUACAGGAGAGCUGCUUCUGCCAUGAGGGGUUCCCCUCGUUCUUCCCGAUCCCUCCCCGCGUAGGGGGCAUUGACUUGAUUGAUUCUGAUUCAUUACCGAAUUACCGAGAUGAUGGGGUCUGCGGGGAGAAAUUUGAUUCUUAUACGCCUUUCAAGUGUCAGUAGCGGUCCCGAUCGAUCGAAGAAGAACAACUUCUCCUGCAACGGACCCAACUCCAGAAGAAUAGUUCGCUGCUCUUGGUCCCGAAACCUUUGGUCUCUCCUUCAUUCCUCAGCCUUUGGCCCUUAUUCAUUGAUUCCUCAACGGGCUUUAUUUAUGGAUGUUCUUGGAACAAGGGGCCUCUAAACCUACUAACAAGAAAGCGCAACUUCUAUUUUGAUGGGACUUAUCCAUAUUUAUUAAGAGCAAGGCAUCCUUAAUCUUGGGCUGACAACGGGGGAAGUUCUUCACUAUAUGGGGCAAAUACCCUUCCCGCCGACCGUCGAUCCCUUGAAGGUGGAGCUACUGAAUUCCUCACCUCUGACGUCGAACCGGAUUCCUGUGUGUGGAGUCCCACUUCUAAUGCCCUAGCGCUUCCCAACCGAAUAAUCUAAUAGUUCGUGCUCGAGCAAUAUCAAUAUUCUAACCCCUUUCCCUGUAGGUCAAGCUCCUUCCCUCCUUUCCCAGCCUCUUUAUUUGCUUCUUCUCUGUACGCCUUCGCAGAUCUUCUUGGUACGGAUGUGCCUUUGCCUCUCUUCUAUGCCCGGUUUAGGGACGGAAGUAGCUCGACCAUAGGAAGAGGGACAAGCGCUUAAGAAAGAUAAGUUCCAGCAGGUUAGGAGGCGCAGCAGCAAGAAGGGAUCUCCGUUACCUGUGUUGAGGUUUUCUUUUCUUCUUGCAUUCUUCUUUGAAUUUCUCUUUUCUUGUCCGUGAGUGCUUUGACUCACUCUGAUCAUAAGUCAUAAGAAGCCCACGGAGGGGGACUUGUGAGACGAGAGGAUAGGGCUUCCUUCAUAUAUUCCGUAAUUUCAUUGAUUAUCGAGGAUGUUCCCAAUAGGGCUCGGUCUAAUUCCGCUGCCGAAAGAGGGAGAGCGGACUCUUUAUGUAAUAUGCGCUUUCUGGGUCAAGUCGGCUUAGCGUGAUAGGCAUGCGGAUCUGUCUUACUGACUGACUCAACUUCUUAGUCUUUUUCUUCCUUUUGCUGUACCAGAAGUCCUUGUUGAAGACAGAGAAGUUCUUACUCAAUUUCCUUUUCUGGAACUGAAAACGAAAAUAAUAGCCGCAAUAUGCGCCUCAAAGUAAUAGCUAUUCAAAGUCCUCCCUCCUGGACAAUAGCGAAUGUUCACCUUUUUGGGACUUUUCAAAUCAAAUAUGAUUCAUAGUCCUCCGUCCUACAGUCGUCUUAUUUCCUUAUCAAUGAGACGGAGCGGAGCCAAGUUCGGAACUAAUGGAGUUCCUCCAAAUAAUAGCUAUUCAUAGUCCUCUAAAAAGAAAAAUCAGAGCUCUUUGAGCCUUUGUUUUUGAAUCAUUUUUCCCCCUCUAAAAGAGUAAGCAGGUCCGAAGGACUGACCGCAGAGGCUUUUUGGAGCUGCUCCUCGUCUUUGCGCCUUCGCAUAUUGAAUUGCGCCUCCUACGCGCGUUAAAGUGGAAGGCAAUCGCAUCGCAAUAUUAUAUUCUUUGCUGCGCCUAACUCCAAAAUCAAGAAAGCACUACGCGGGUGAAUGAAUAUGAGAAGAAUAUUGCGGUUGAAAAAAGGCCUACUUUGAAGGAGCGGGUGAAUGAAUAUGAGAAAGAAUGAUCGAAGAAUAUUGAAAAAGGACAGGUCGAAACUAGGCUUUUUAUCUUUGACUCUUGAAUCAGGGAGAGCGGAUCCAGUCUUCCUUUCAAGUCUCCCUUCCUUUCUUCCCGAAAGCAAUGAAGGUAUAAGAUUCACCCAAAGGGCUAACUUCACUAGUUCCCUGGGAUCACAGAACUAGCGUGAAAAGACCGGGAGUCCUAGUCCACCAAAGCGUGCAGAUCCAUCAUGGCAAAGACCGGAUCUGAUCUAACUCUAAGAUAAGAGCGGAUUGGCCGACUGAAAAAGUAUGAAAAUCAGUUCCACAGGUCCGAAGGACUAUCCAUAUUAACCCGUCUGUCCGAAGGACCUGUGACGCCUUGUUCAUUGAUUCUUUUUUCUUUCAGUGAAUUAGAAUGUGGCUCCUCGACCGAAAGGUUUAUGACAAGUCUUCUUUCCUAAGAGUGAGUCAGUCGCUGUGGCAGGCACUAGUCAAAUAGGGGAAGUCAUAUGCUCGGGAGAGGGACAAAGGAAAGCGGGAGAGCAAGCCUUGCUCUUUCAGUUGCCGUUGAAGAAGAAGGCAAAAACAAAGGCGCCAUAAGACAGGUCCGAAGGACUAUCCAUUAGGGGAUGAGAGGCCUAUCCAUUAGAGAAUUUGACUUGCGACGUCCGCUUUAAGAGCCUAGAGGUCAUUCUUAGGGGUGCUUUCGUGGAAUCAUUUCAGAGAAAAAUCACUGUCUUUCUCUUUCUCACAAAGGACCGGAGAAGGGCCUGACCUCGAUCCGACCCGAAUGAGUUACCGGUGGAGUUCAGAGGCCCGUGCCCAAGUGAAAGUGAAGAUCAAGCCGCCUAUGGGCGGUUGUCCGUCUACAUAAGAGGAAGGAGGAUCCCUCGUCAAUUCUAACCACCAGAGGUUUGACUCGGUACACCAAUGGUUGGUUGGGACCUUUGAUCAGCUUGUCUACUUUCUUCCCCCAACUCUCACUCAUCUUCAGCCAAUUUCCCCAUUAACCCAAACCUCAAAUUCCGCCAUUUCUUAGGCAAAAUUCAGAAAAUGCAAGGUUUUGGGCCUCCUUUUGUUUUGAGCAUCUUUAUCCCCUUUAUACAAUAAGGCUCUCAUCUCACUUUUCAUUCAAAGGAGGUGGUUUUUCAGUCAAAAAACGACUAUUAGCAUAAGAAAGGAUAAGUCUCAUAUUUAGCUCAAAUCGUAGAAAAUGCAACCCACUACGCGGGAAUAAUCACAAGAAGAAGAAGACAGAAAAGGGAAGAAAGAGGUCCUUAUCUAAUGGGGAUCGUUGGAGUGGAAUAAGGAGCACAUGGUAUUGCUCUCAUUACAGCAAGAGAGAUAGCUGCCUCAGCAGCAACCAAGCUGAUCAAUACAAUAUUGUUAAUAAACAAGAACUUAUCCAGCUGAAAGAGAAAGGGGUGCCUACUCAUUCAUUGACUUUUGCCUCUUUUCCUUACUCACCGCGUAGUGGGGGUCCCCUUGUUCAUUGAGGCGGGGUGUGUCCUGUACGAGCAGCCGAUGCCUCAUCAAGCUUCUUCGACCCUUUCCUUUGUCCUCAGACUGAUCUGGUGGGCGCCUACCCUACCUUUCAGCCUCUUCCCAUCCCGUCCGAAGGACCUCCCAUAAAGAAGAGAAAGGUCCAGGCGCAAUAAGACAGGUCCGAAGGACUAUCCAUAUUAACCUGGCACCUGUGAAAAGAAAAGAAAAGAAGCUCAUUAACUCGAAUUCAAGAAUCAUUCUGAUUUCAUAACUCGAAUUCAAGAAGAAUUAUGAAUCUGCUAGAUUGAAGAGCUAGAUUUCAGAUGAAUCCGCGGAGGGAAAUGCUAGGUUUUGCCCAUAGGGAAGUAGCAAGAAAUCAUGAAAAUUCCUUCUUUUUCACUCAAUUAUCGUAGAAUAUCAAGAUGAGAUUUAGUCCUAUUUAGAAGCAAAAAAGCCGGGAAAUUGCAACUGGUCCAUUAGAAAAAUCUAGGGAAAAUCAAUGAAGACUUCUAGUUUGAGUUUCUGGUCCGGAUACUGACGGGUCUAUUCUGGAAUUCACUCCGUCUGCAAUCUCAAAAUCAAUGAAGGAGUACAAUGAACAUCAUAAUGAUUCUUUCAUUCGAGUUAAUGAGCCCGUAGUUAACCGGUCCUACGUCCAUUUAUCCUCCGGACUAUCCGUAAUUAACCGAAGGAGGACUUUCCGUAAUUAACCGAACUUUGAACCUGGGGGAGCGGUAAUGAAAGAAGACGCUGGUAUGAUGUCCAACCGAACCCAAGAAUGCUCAAGACGGAAGAUAAAGUCAAUGAACAAGGGCUCGACAGGAGGAACCCAUGAAAUGCGAGAGACUUUUCCCACCCAGUAGAAAGUGGGAGUUCCGGGAUUUUCUUGUCAGUUCGUCCUUUAGAUUAUAGAUCAGUCAUGCUUCGCUUUUGACUGCUAUGUCCCAAGUAAUCUUAUCGAAAAGCAUUGAAUGAGCACUUGAACCUCGUCUGUCCCCCAGGAAUGAAGACAUUGAUUCCGGUACAAAGGCCUACUGAGAGGCAUUGCCUAUAGCACUGGCAGGCACAAGACCUUAGUGAAUGCACACUUUUCAUAGAAUAUCACAUUCUGAGAAAUCAGGACUAAGAUUGUUCAAAGGUUGGAGUAAGCGUCUUGACAUCAUCUCAUCUACUCUUUCUUUGAACUUGGAGGGACCGAAGAGCUUUACCAUCCCGGAGGAGGAGCAAGGAAUUUGAUGUUUCUAUCCAUUUCCUCAACUAAGUAGAAAAACGGGGAAAGUAGUUUCAAGAGAAAAAAAAAAGAGAAAGAUUCAAAGGUGCCACUUAAUAGAAAGUCGAGCCACUAUUAAUCCUUAAACUGCUACAGCCACGGCUUUCCCUUUUGUGUGAAACUUCCCUUUAAGCCCUUUCCUCAACAGCACUUGUCACAAUGAAAAGAUUUAGAAUAAGCAAAGCCUAUCCUCCUCCAAGAUAAGGAUGCCUUGGCUUCGUUCCGCUCUCAAAUGCAAUCUUUCUCCCACCCAACCGCCUCAAUGAACAAGGGCUUCCGGACGGACGAGGAUUGAUGGAUCCCCGUAUUGAAAGGUAAAGAAAGAGACCGAGGCCUACCCUACUGGAAAGCGUAUUGAAGUUACCCAAUAUGACUGCCUUUGCUCGCGGGUAAAGAAAAAGAGUUCGAGACUUGGCAUCUUAAUGGAAAGGAUUGAGAAAGGCAUGAAAGGCACCGGCGCUCCUCAAGGUCAGGGUCGUCAGACCUCCCUCUCUUAGUCUCGCAGUUCCCCACGUAGCGGUCCGUCCUACUCGUGGUAGAAUAUGAGCGGAUUUCUACCAGCGAGAACAGAGCAGAUUUUCCCGAUUCAAUGAGUAGAAGGGAAGGAAGCUCAUCCGGGUACGAUCUCAGGGAAGAGGUUCAGUGUGCCCAGCAGAAAGAACUCGCGCUAUUAGCACCCGACUGGGAUUAUCUCGUGAAGCUCUAAGGAGUGGCUUCGCUGACCUCUGGGACGGAUGCCUUUCUCAAUCUUCUUUUCACCUCCCUCACUCAUUUCGUACUCAUUCAAUCUCUGUCUGUCUAUUCUCUCUCUCUCUCGACUUCGUAAACCUAGAAACUCUCACUCCUUCGCACAAACUCAUAAUCGGAUAUUCAGAUGCGAAGCGAUUCCCGCGAAAGUGCGAUUCAUUAUUUCAUAAAAAGAUAUUAAGAAGAUGAAAUUCUAAAGCUCUGAUAUUCAGGUUAAUAUGUCCUUAUCAUAUCAAUGAGACCAGUCCGGAGGACCUACGGAGCAAAGUUCAAAAAGAAAGGUCCAGGCGCAAUAAGACAGGUCCGAAGGACUAUCCAUUAGGGGAUUUCGUAGAUCCAUUUCAUUUAUGGAAAUAAGGGUCAAGAUGCUAGGUUAAUAUGGAUAGUCCGAAGGACGGGGGAUUUGAGAUUAGAUUGGAAUUUUCAUAGAAAACCACUCAAAAUCAAGCCUAUCAGAGAGGUCAAAUAGCAAAAUAAAGAGCCUGCCUAUUGGCGGAAGGGUUCAUGAAAGUCGGGGAAAUGGAAGAAAGCGAACUCCCUUGAACAUCUGCACCCUUGAUUUGAUUUAGACAUCUAGUUUCUAUCUUUUCUCUCUAAAAUAGCUAAGAUGCGCUAGUCCUAUUCUCUUACUUAAAUGAGGCUACGGCUGUAGAUUGAGAGUGGAUUUCUGGGGAUUCAAUUCAAGAGAAAGGGAUGCCUCUGUCAAUAUUCUUUGAACCUGCCCCCUUUCUUUCCUUUGAUUCUAACUCUGACUCAUGAGACUGAUUCCUCCGGACCCUACUAGCCCUCUUAUGGGAAAGCAUAUUCAAUCCGCUGGGUAAAGCACCCAUUCCUUAGUUUAGGGUCGAGCUCAAUCUCCAAUCUCCAGACCGGAAGAAGUUUAAUAUGGAUUUCUCAAUCUGAAAAGAGCCUUUCUUCUUUUCUUAGAUAAAUGCGCUUCGGGCCUUCGUAGCUUAAUAUGGGGAUGAUCUUGGGUGUGGUCUGAACUCAAUCCGGCCCCCACGUAGCGGUCGAGCAACCUUGUUCCACGAAAGAACUGACUUCAGGUCCUAGUUCCAUAUCAAAGCGCUUUCCUUUGAACAUAAGGAAGAAAAUCCUUCUACGCGAUUAGCAUGAACUUCUCGAAGAAUUCUUCUGCAUCCAAAUUGACUCUGAAAAAGGACCCAUUGAAAGUCAAAAGCCUUUUGCCUUAUCAUUCAUACGAGCUUCUACUGUACCGCUCUGUGGGACCGCGGAGUGGGGGUCUAGCUAUCCUACUCUAUAAUGAAUUGUACUAUAGAAAAGAUAGUGAAACUACCACGGAUCUCGCUUCUCAAAUUCUCAAUAUUCUUUGUCAAUAUGCCUAUUUUUUCGAAGUCUUAGUUCCAUUAAUCAGUCCUUUCAGUUCCAUAAGACUCAUCUGGAGCUUUUCU